This 380-nucleotide unclassified non-coding RNA is filed under the name Hevea brasiliensis (rubber tree). Lineage: Eukaryota; Viridiplantae; Streptophyta; Magnoliopsida; Malpighiales; Euphorbiaceae. The record is from RNAcentral.
CCCAAAUGCACACUUGCACGAUACAAUCGCAAACCUGAUAUCCCAAUGAUUUUGUCUUUUCAAAAACCCUAGAUCAUCAUUUAUCUCUUCUGCCGUUUUGGAAAAUGGCGUCUCGCUAUAGAUCUCUCUCAAGGUCGAGUCUUUCUCUGCUCAAAUCCGCUGGCUCAAAUCCGCUGUGAACAAGCCGAACAAGCCCGCCCUUAAACCCAACCCCUUACCUUCCUCACAGCUCUCGUCUCGCUCUUUUCUUAAAUUUUCAAGGUCAGUUCCUCAGUUGGGUGCUCUCCAAUCUCUGCUUCCCCUGCAUUCGGCCGUCUCUUCAGCUCGGUUAACCUCGUGCCUCGGCAUUGAUUCGAGGAGCUCCCGCUCGUUGUCUCAGG